RNAcentral lists this non-coding RNA (30 nucleotides) under Mus musculus (house mouse). Lineage: Eukaryota; Metazoa; Chordata; Mammalia; Rodentia; Muridae. The record is from RNAcentral.
UAAGUGAGGUUCCUAUAGAAUGUCUAGCAC